AUCUUCCGCAAUGGGCGAAAGCCUGACGGAUCAACGCCGUGUGAGUGAUGAAGGGUUUCGGCUCGUAAAACUCUGUUAUUAGGGAAGAACAAAUGUGGAAGUAACUGUGCACAUCUUGACGGUACCUAAUCAGAAAGCAACGGCUAACUAUGUGCCAGCAGCCGCGGUAAUACGUAGGUGGCAAGCGUUAUCCGGAAUUAUUGGGCGUAAAGCGCGGUUAGGCGGUUUCUUAAGUCUGAUGUGAAAGCCCACGGCUCAACCGUGGAGGGUCAUUGGGAACUGGGAAACUUGAGUGCAGAAGAGGAAAGUGGAAUUCCAUGUGUAGCGGUGAAAUGCGCAGAGAUAUGGAGGAACACCAGUGGCGAAGGCGACUUUCUGGUCUGUAACUGACGCUGAUGUGCGAAAGCGUGGGGAUCAAACA
Molecule: ribosomal RNA, 421 nt
Filed under: uncultured bacterium
Lineage: Bacteria
Description: bacterial SSU rRNA
Rfam family: Bacterial small subunit ribosomal RNA
Source: RNAcentral